UACGAAGGGGGCGAGCGUUGUUCGGAUUCAUUGGGCGUAAAGGGUGCGUAGGCGGCGCGGUAAGUCGGGUGUGAAAUCUUGGAGCUUAACUCCGAAACUGCAUUCGAUACUGCCGUGCUUGAGGACUGGAGAGGAGACUGGAAUUUACGGUGUAGCGGUGAAAUGCGUAGAUAUCGUAAGGAAGACCAGUGGCGAAGGCGGGUCUCUGGACAGUUCCUGACGCUGAGGCACGAAGGCCAGGGGAGCAAACGGG
Molecule: ribosomal RNA, 253 nt
Filed under: uncultured bacterium
Lineage: Bacteria
Description: partial 16S ribosomal RNA
Rfam family: Bacterial small subunit ribosomal RNA
Source: RNAcentral